UUUGUAAUGGCGAGUAAUAUUUACUAUCCUGUAGGAAAACUCGGGCGACCGCUGUAAUAUUUCUCUUUAAAACAGAGGAAGAUUGCGGCAAUAACAGGUCUGUGAUGCCCUCAGAUGUCCCGGGCCGCACACGUGCUACAUUGAUUAGCGCAGUGCGCAUACUUUCAAUAUGAUACAUUAGAUUGGAUUGUUCUGUUGAGCUCCAUCUAAUACUAUCCGGCUUGAGAAGGCUGGGUAAUCAAUUGUAAGUGCUGGUUCCUCCUCCCGUUGAGCAUUUUAAUAAUGGCCUCUCUACAUCCCUAGCAAUAUGCCUAGUGCGAUUGUAGUUGAGCCUUGCCAUUUAUGCAAGUGUCAAUUCUCAGUGGGGACAGACAUUUGAUAAUUCUUUGUCUCGUUCUUAACUAGGAAUGCCUUGUACGGGUCUUGGUUCAACAGACCACCCGGAAUACGUCCCUGCCCUUUGUACACACCGCCCGUCGCUCUUACCGAUGAAUUUCCCUGUGAGUUUGAAGGACUGAUGGUUGCAAAAUCAUUGGAAAUUCUGUC
Molecule: ribosomal RNA, 546 nt
Filed under: Globigerinella siphonifera
Lineage: Eukaryota; Foraminifera; Rotaliida; Globigerinidae
Description: partial 18S ribosomal RNA
Rfam family: Eukaryotic small subunit ribosomal RNA
Source: RNAcentral